UACGGAGGGUGCUAACGUUGUUCGGUGUCAUUGGGCUUAAAGGGUGCGUAGGCGGCCGGGUAAGUCAGGUGUGAAAUCCCUCGGCUCAACCGAGGAAUUGUGCUUGAUACUGCCCGACUCGAGGACCAAAGGGGAGAGCGGAACUUCAGGUGUAGCGGUAAAAUGCGUAGAUAUCUGAGGGAACGCCGAAGGCGAAGGCAGCUCUCUGGGUGGUUCCUGACGCUGAGUGCACGAAAGCUGGGGGAGCAAACAGGAUUAGAUACCCUCGUA
Molecule: ribosomal RNA, 270 nt
Filed under: uncultured prokaryote
Description: partial 16S ribosomal RNA
Rfam family: Bacterial small subunit ribosomal RNA
Source: RNAcentral